This 253-nucleotide ribosomal RNA is filed under the name uncultured bacterium. Its description in RNAcentral is "partial 16S ribosomal RNA". It matches the Rfam family "Bacterial small subunit ribosomal RNA", at positions 524 to 776 of the family's 1533-position model. The record is from RNAcentral.
UACGUAGGCAGCGAGCGUUGUUCGGAGUUACUGGGCGUAAAGGGCGCGUAGGCGGCCCGCUAAGUCGAACGUGAAAUCCCCGAGCUCAACUCGGGAACUGCGUCCGAUACUGGUGGGCUUGAAUCCGGGAGAGGGAUGCGGAAUUCCAGGUGUAGCGGUGAAAUGCGUAGAUAUCUGGAGGAACACCGGUGGCGAAGGCGGCAUCCUGGACCGGCAUUGACGCUGAGGCGCGAAAGCUAGGGGAGCAAACGGG